UGGGGAAUAUUGCACAAUGGAGGGAACUCUGAUGCAGCGACGCCGCGUGAGUGAUGAAGGAAUUCGUUUCGUAAAACUCUGUUCUAUGGGAAGAAAAGGACUGUACCAUAGGAGAAAGCUCCGGCUAAAUACGUGCCAGCAGCCGCGGUAAUACGUAUGGAGCGAGCGUUGUCCGGAAUUAUUGGGCGUAAAGGGUGCGCAGGCGGCUUUACAAGUUGGAUGUGAAAUAUUGUGGCUCAACCACAAACGUGCAUCCAAAACUGCAAAGCUUGAGUUAAGGAGAGGUAAGUGGAAUUCCUGGUGUAGCGGUGGAAUGCGUAGAUAUCAGGGGGAAUACCGGUGGCGAAGGCGACUUACUGGACUUAAACUGACGCUCAGGCACGAAAGCGUGGGGAGCAAACAGG
This 404-nucleotide ribosomal RNA is filed under the name Fusobacteriota bacterium. RNAcentral's name for it is "Fusobacteria bacterium partial 16S ribosomal RNA". It matches the Rfam family "Bacterial small subunit ribosomal RNA", at positions 355 to 776 of the family's 1533-position model. Lineage: Bacteria; Fusobacteriati; Fusobacteriota. The record is from RNAcentral.